GUAGGUGGCAAGCGUUGUCCGGGAAUUAUUGGGGCGUAAAGCGCGCGCAGGCGGUUCUUUAAGCCUGAUGUGAAAGCCCACGGGCUCAACCGUGGAGGGUCAUUGGAAACUGGAGAACUUGAGUACAGAAGAGGAAAGCGGAAUUCCACGUGUAGCGGUGAAAUGCGUAGAGAUGUGGAGGAACACCAGUGGCGAAGGCGGCUUUCUGGUCUGUAACUGACGCUGAGGCGCGAAAGCGUGGGGAGCAAACAGGAUUAGAUACCCUGGUAGUCCACGCCGUAAACGAUGAGUGCUAAGUGUUAGGGGGUUUCCGCCCCUUAGUGCUGCAGCUAACGCAUUAAGCACUCCGCCUGGGGAGUACGGCCGCAAAGGCUGA
RNAcentral lists this ribosomal RNA (376 nucleotides) under uncultured organism. Its description in RNAcentral is "partial 16S ribosomal RNA". It matches the Rfam family "Bacterial small subunit ribosomal RNA", at positions 527 to 897 of the family's 1533-position model. The record is from RNAcentral.